GGGUUGUGAGGUUAAGCGACUAAGCGUACACGGUGGAUGCCCUGGCAGUCAGAGGCGAUGAAGGACGUGCUAAUCUGCGAAAAGCGACGGCGAGGUGAUAUGAACCUUUGACCCGUCGAUGUCCGAAUGGGGAAACCCAGUGUGUUCCGACACACUAUCGUUAACUGAAUACAUAGGUUAACGAGGCGAACCGGGGGAACUGAAACAUCUAAGUACCCCGAGGAAAAGAAAUCAACCGAGAUUCCCCCAGUAGCGGCGAGCGAACGGGGAGCAGCCCGGAGUCUGAAUCAGCUUGUGUGUUAGUGGAACGGUCUGGAAAGUCCGACGGUACAGGGUGAUAGUCCCGUACACGAAAAUACACUUGCUGUGAACUCGAAGAGUAGGGCGGGACACGUGGUAUCCUGUCUGAAUAUGGGGGGACCAUCCUCCAAGGCUAAAUACUCCUGACUGACCGAUAGUGAACCAGUACCGUGAGGGAAAGGCGAAAAGAACCCCGGCGAGGGGAGUGAAAAAGAACCUGAAACCGUGUACGUACAAGCAGUGGGAGCACCUUCGGGUGUGACUGCGUACCUUUUGUAUAAUGGGUCAGCGACUUAUAUUCUGUAGCAAGGUUAACCGUAUAGGGGAGCCGAAGGGAAACCGAGUCUUAACUGGGCGUUAAGUUGCAGGGUAUAGACCCGAAACCCGGUGAUCUAGCCAUGGGCAGGUUGAAGGUUGGGUAACACUAACUGGAGGACCGAACCGACUAAUGUUGAAAAAUUAGCGGAUGACCUGUGGCUGGGGGUGAAAGGCCAAUCAAACCGGGAGAUAGCUGGUUCUCCCCGAAAGCUAUUUAGGUAGCGCCUCGUGAACUCAUCUUCGGGGGUAGAGCACUGUUUCGGCUAGGGGGCCAUCCCGGCUUACCAACCCGAUGCAAACUACGAAUACCGAAGAAUGUUAUCACGGGAGACACACGGCGGGUGCUAACGUCCGUCGUGAAGAGGGAAACAACCCAGACCGCCAGCUAAGGUCCCAAAGUCAUGGUUAAGUGGGAAACGAUGUGGGAAGGCACAGACAGCCAGGAUGUUGGCUUAGAAGCAGCCAUCAUUUAAAGAAAGCGUAAUAGCUCACUGGUCGAGUCGGCCUGCGCGGAAGAUGUAACGGGGCUAAACCAUGCACCGAAGCUGCGGCAGCGACACUAUGUGUUGUUGGGUAGGGGAGCGUUCUGUAAGCCGUUGAAGGUGUGCUGUGAGGCAUGCUGGAGGUAUCAGAAGUGCGAAUGCUGACAUAAGUAACGAUAAAGCGGGUGAAAAGCCCGCUCGCCGGAAGACCAAGGGUUCCUGUCCAACGUUAAUCGGGGCAGGGUGAGUCGACCCCUAAGGCGAGGCCGAAAGGCGUAGUCGAUGGGAAACAGGUUAAUAUUCCUGUACUUGGUGUUACUGCGAAGGGGGGACGGAGAAGGCUAUGUCAGCCGGGCGACGGUUGUCCCGGUUUAAGCAUGUAGGCGGAGGUUCCAGGUAAAUCCGGUACCUUAUUAACGCUGAGGUGUGAUGACGAGGCACUACGGUGCUGAAGUGAUAAAUGCCCUGCUUCCAGGAAAAGCCUCUAAGCAUCAGGUAACACGAAAUCGUACCCCAAACCGACACAGGUGGUCAGGUAGAGAAUACCAAGGCGCUUGAGAGAACUCGGGUGAAGGAACUAGGCAAAAUGGUGCCGUAACUUCGGGAGAAGGCACGCUGAUA
RNAcentral lists this ribosomal RNA (1721 nucleotides) under Enterobacter cloacae subsp. cloacae. Its description in RNAcentral is "bacterial LSU rRNA". It matches the Rfam family "Bacterial large subunit ribosomal RNA", at positions 1 to 1756 of the family's 2925-position model. Lineage: Bacteria; Pseudomonadati; Pseudomonadota; Gammaproteobacteria; Enterobacterales; Enterobacteriaceae. The record is from RNAcentral.